This 147-nucleotide non-coding RNA is filed under the name Streptomyces sp. Lineage: Bacteria; Bacillati; Actinomycetota; Actinomycetes; Kitasatosporales; Streptomycetaceae. The record is from RNAcentral.
AAGAUGUAUGCUCAUGCUCGCUGUCGCCGCAGGGGAAUCCGGUGCGAAUCCGGAACUGUCCCGCAACGGUGUACUUGUGCGUGUCCGUCCUCCCGACGGGUGCGUACAAGCGUCAGUCCGAGGACCUGCCGACAGUGCGCCCGACCG